UAAACAAGGGUGUAUCUAUAUUUAUAGAAGCUUUAAUUUUCGUGCUUAUCUUAAUUGUUGGUUUAGUUUAUGCAUGGCGAAAGGGGGCAUUGGAAUGGUCUUAGCUCCUGAAUAUUCAGACAAUAAAAAGAAAAGGGAAAAAAAGAUUGAAAAAGUUAUGAAUUCCAUUGAGUUUCCUUUACUUGAUCAAACAGUCCAAAAUUCAGUUAUUUCAACUACAUUAAAUGAUCUUUCAAAUUGGUCAAGGCAGAGGCCACU
This 258-nucleotide long non-coding RNA is filed under the name Olea europaea subsp. europaea. Lineage: Eukaryota; Viridiplantae; Streptophyta; Magnoliopsida; Lamiales; Oleaceae. The record is from RNAcentral.